UUAUUUGCACUUGUUUUCCUUUCACAGCUGACCUAGUUCUCUUGGCCAAAGAAGGUUCAGCACAUACUGACUUGGAGGACUUCCUUGCAGAAGACCUAGUUCCCUUUCAUUUGGCAGUGGGAACGUCCACAGUCGUACUCCGCUCUUGAUGGACCAGUUCUAUCUCUUCUUCCUCCUCUUCCACAGCAGCCUCAGAACUAUCAAAAAUGUUUGCUUUUCCUUGUUUUUUCUUCUUUUUCUUGCUCUCCUCUAGUGCUUUUAGCAGUUCUGCUUCACUUUGCUUUACCGUACUUCCUGUGGCUCUACCCCUAGGCGAAACAGACUUAGGUGAUGAAACUUUGCUCUUAGUUGGUUUGGACACAACAGGGAUACUUUGUGCUUGCAUUUCUUUAGGUCAAAACUGGCCCCUACUCUCUUUAGCAUAUCCACCAAAGUCUCUUCUACAGAUGAACCAGGUUAAUCUUGUUGUUCAC
This 473-nucleotide long non-coding RNA is filed under the name Nicotiana benthamiana. RNAcentral's name for it is "long non-coding RNA (NBEN_LNC011972)". Lineage: Eukaryota; Viridiplantae; Streptophyta; Magnoliopsida; Solanales; Solanaceae. The record is from RNAcentral.